Molecule: ribosomal RNA, 2146 nt
Filed under: Triticum aestivum (bread wheat)
Lineage: Eukaryota; Viridiplantae; Streptophyta; Magnoliopsida; Poales; Poaceae
Description: partial small subunit ribosomal RNA
Source: RNAcentral
AAAAUGUUAGUACUGUACACCCUUAUUGGGAGAGAGCAGUAGGAGAGGGAGGAGGCCGCGUAGCGGCGGCUCGGUACCGGAGGGGGCUGGGCUUGGUGGCGGCGCGGUACCGCCAAGCCGGCAGCGGUCUAGACGCGGGUCCGGCCUGCUUGUUGCCGGCCGGCUGCGGGGGGCCGCGUCCUAGAAGCAUUUCCUUUCGCUUCAUAGUCCAUAUACGUCACACUACUCAAUCUACUCGACGGAACGUCGUCUUUCGUCUCUGGUACACGGAGUACAACACUUAUCCGUUAUGUCGGCUGAUAAGUCAUAAUGACUCAUUUUCCUACGUAACUGGGAACUAACAUAACCUACAACAACUAAACCACCUCCAACAAAAAAUAGUCGGUGUCUUCCCAUAUAUAUAUUGGUGUUUACCCGACUGGAUUACUAAACCCGACCGUUUAUCCCUACGAAGAAAGGUUUCACUACUUUCUCCCUACGGCAUGGUCUACUCAGAAGUCAAAGGUUAUACAUCAUCGUUAACGAUGUUCUCGACCGACUCUAUUACUAAACCCAACCGUUGAUACUUACCAAAGGAGUUUUCUCCUACCUCUCCUGACGGUCCUAUACGUGUAUAGUCUGUUCAGGAGUCAAAAAAACUCCUUGACGCUCGAGUUCCGUGAUCCUGAUAACUUCAAUGAUUUACGUCAUCGCAGGUUGUAUAAGCAACUGUAGUUUGUGGGACUUCAAUACACGUUACAAGGUGUGGAGUUGUUCCAAACAACAGACGAAGACCUAAAGCUCCACUAUAGUUUCGAAGCUCCUUAUUGGGGAUGUUUUCUUGACCAGAUACUUGUGCCGGUAUUCUUCUUCUACUCGACGGGACGUUACCGUGUAAACUUGAUCGUUCGGUGUGAUGAGAUUCGUUAAGAAGAGUAUGGCACACGAAAAUUAACAACCCAUCCCUGACCUGUCCCUUCCCGGUCUCGAAACACGAAAUAAGAACGACGACAGGAACGGUAAGAACGACAACAGGAACGGUAAGAAAAAUAACGCGGCCCGGAGCAACGCUAGUGCCUAACGGAAGAAGCGUCGUCGUCGUAGGGCCGCGUUGAAGAGUCCAAGCGCCAAGAGGAAGAGGAGCGCCCGUACCCACCGCACUACAGGGCGGUGCUGCAGAGACAAUUUCAUCGGCAAUUUCAUCGGUCCCAAAACGGGCCCGGCGGGCGCCCCUCCCGCUGUGCUCGCCUCAACAAUGUAGUGUACGUGACUGUACCUGAAGUAAUAUACUGACUUGACAGAGGAGCCGCAGGUGAGACCGGUAGAUCGCCAGCAGUGCGCGCGCUGUGGUCUAUUUAUAAGGACUUUUUACUGGUCUAUUUAUAAGGACUACCUCAUGUUAACUGAUGAAAACAUCUUUUUCCAGUUUGUUGUGUUAAACAAUGCAUACUAUCACACUCCGUCGUUGGCUUAACCUUUAGAACCUUCCUACCAACAAAUUAGAUAUCUCUCUAGGGUGAAACGGAAUACCGGACCUUUCAGACCCGUCAAGAGUCAAUUCUCGAAAAUACAAUAGUACGUAUGCGUGGAAGGUUGAUAGGUUGGACGUUCACCGAAACCGUCUCGUCUACGUGAUACUUUUAAUUUCAAAAACCGACCGAGGAAAAGAAACUGUCCGAGUUGUGCUUCCUAUACAACCAGUCUGCCGUAACCGCCAGGGGAAACCUACUAUUGUAUACACAGUAGACAUUACGAAUACAGAUACUUCUAUCUCGUGUAGAAAAGAAACUUACAUUGAAGUCAACGUCCCAAACCUUAAUGAACGUUUAACUAACCUCUGUACCGAGAUCAUAGGUCCUCACAUAGAGGGUUCGUUCCUUUUCUAAACCUGUGGGUAAGAAGAAACUUCACUACGAGUGCUGACGAACCUUAUAAACCUAAGACUCCUUACCUUCUUGGAAGUCCCCCUAUUCCCGAUGAAAACGUCGUACCUCUACAUUAAAACAUGUACUAUAGGAAGUCCCCCUAUCAAAAUCCGUAUCCGAACAACUAACCCAAUUAAGGGAGUGCAUUUCAUUCAAAAGAGAGAUUGAAUCAAAUCCGAACAUUGGAAACUUGGGGACACAUGUCAAAACGAACAAACAAACAACGUUAUUUCCUGGCACCC